Molecule: ribosomal RNA, 440 nt
Filed under: uncultured bacterium
Lineage: Bacteria
Description: partial 16S ribosomal RNA
Rfam family: Bacterial small subunit ribosomal RNA
Source: RNAcentral
CCUACGGGAGGCAGCAGUAGGGCAUAUUGCUCAAUGGGGGAAACCCUGAAGCAGCAAAGCCGCGUGGAGGAUGAAGGUUUUCGGAUUGUAAACUCCUUUUGUUAGAGAAGAUAAUGACGGUAUCUAACGAAUAAGCACCGGCUAACUCCGUGCCAGCAGCCGCGGUCAUACGGAGGGUGCAAGCGUUACUCGGAAUCACUGGGCGUAAAGAGCGCGUAGGCGGGAUAGCAAGUCAGAUGUGAAAUCCUAUGGCUUAACCAUAGAACUGCAUUUGAAACUGUUAUUCUAGAGUAUGGGAGAGGUAGGUGGAAUGCUUGGUGUAGGGGUAAAAUCCGUAGAGAUCAAGAGGAAUACUCAUUGCGAAGGCGACCUGCUAGAACAUAACUGACGCUGAUGCGCGAAAGCGUGGGGAGCAAACAGGAUUAGAUACCCCAGUAGUC